UAGGGAAUCUUCCGCAAUGGACGCAAGUCUGACGGAGCAACGCCGCGUGAGUGAAGAAGGAUUUCGGUUCGUAAAACUCUGUUGUUAGAGAAGAACAGCGCAUAGAGUAACUGUUAUGCGUGUGACGGUAUCUAACCAGAAAGCCACGGCUAACUACGUGCCAGCAGCCGCGGUAAUACGUAGGUGGCAAGCGUUGUCCGGAUUUAUUGGGCGUAAAGCGAGCGCAGGCGGUUAGAUAAGUCUGAAGUUAAAGGCAGUGGCUCAACCAUUGUAGGCUUUGGAAACUGUUUAACUUGAGUGCAGAAGGUGAGAGUGGAAUUCCAUGUGUAGCGGUGAAAUGCGUAGAUAUAUGGAGGAACACCGGUGGCGAAAGCGGCUCUCUGGUCUGUAACUGACGCUGAGGCUCGAAAGCGUGGGGAGCGAACAGG
This 428-nucleotide ribosomal RNA is filed under the name Bacteroidota bacterium. Its description in RNAcentral is "Bacteroidetes bacterium partial 16S ribosomal RNA". It matches the Rfam family "Bacterial small subunit ribosomal RNA", at positions 355 to 776 of the family's 1533-position model. Lineage: Bacteria; Pseudomonadati; Bacteroidota. The record is from RNAcentral.